This 253-nucleotide ribosomal RNA is filed under the name uncultured bacterium. RNAcentral describes it as "partial 16S ribosomal RNA". It matches the Rfam family "Bacterial small subunit ribosomal RNA", at positions 524 to 776 of the family's 1533-position model. The record is from RNAcentral.
UACGUAGGGGGCAAGCGUUGUCCGGAAUCAUUGGGCGUAAAGCGCGUGUAGGCGGCUCGAUAAGUCUGCUGUGAAAGUCCAGGGCUCAACCCUGGGAUGCCGGUAGAUACUGUCGAGCUCGAGUCCGGAAGAGGCGAGUGGAAUUCCUGGUGUAGCGGUGAAAUGCGCAGAUAUCGGGAGGAACACCAGUAGCGAAGGCGGCUCGCUGGGCCACACCUGACGCUGAGACGCGAAAGCUAGGGGAGCGAACAGG